UACGAAGGGGGCUAGCGUUGCUCGGAAUCACUGGGCGUAAAGGGUGCGUAGGCGGGUCUUUAAGUCAGGGGUGAAAUCCUGGAGCUCAACUCCAGAACUGCCUUUGAUACUGAGGAUCUUGAGUUCGGGAGAGGCGAGUGGAACUGCGAGUGUAGAGGUGAAAUUCGUAGAUAUUCGCAAGAACACCAGUGGCGAAGGCGGCUCACUGGCCCGAUACUGACGCUGAGGCACGAAAGCGUGGGGAGCAAACAGGG
Molecule: ribosomal RNA, 254 nt
Filed under: uncultured bacterium
Lineage: Bacteria
Description: partial 16S ribosomal RNA
Rfam family: Bacterial small subunit ribosomal RNA
Source: RNAcentral